This 85-nucleotide transfer RNA is filed under the name Felis catus (domestic cat). It matches the Rfam family "tRNA". Rfam says of the family: Transfer RNA (tRNA) molecules are approximately 80 nucleotides in length. Their secondary structure includes four short double-helical elements and three loops (D, anti-codon, and T loops). The record is from Rfam by way of RNAcentral. Lineage: Eukaryota; Metazoa; Chordata; Mammalia; Carnivora; Felidae.
GCCUGGGUGGCUCAGUUGGUUGAGUGUCCGACUUCGGCUCGGGUCAUGAUCUCACAGUUCGUGAGUUCGAGCCCCGCGUCGGGCU